This 402-nucleotide ribosomal RNA is filed under the name uncultured bacterium. Its description in RNAcentral is "bacterial SSU rRNA". It matches the Rfam family "Bacterial small subunit ribosomal RNA", at positions 355 to 774 of the family's 1533-position model. The record is from RNAcentral.
UCGGGAAUUUUGGGCAAUGGGCGAAAGCCUGACCCAGCAACGCCGCGUGAGGGAUGAAGUAUUUCGGUAUGUAAACCUCGAAAGAAUGGGAAGAAUAAAUGACGGUACCAUUUAUAAGCUCCGGCUAACUACGUGCCAGCAGCCGCGGUAAUACGUAGGGAGCAAGCGUUGUUCGGAUUUACUGGGCGUAAAGGGCGCGUAGGCGGCGCGGUAAGUCACUUGUGAAAUCUCUGAGCUUAACUCAGAACGGCCAAGUGGUACUGCUGUGCUAGAGUGCGGAAGAGGCAACCGGAAUUCUUGGUGUAGCGGUGAAACGCGUAGAUAUCAAGAGGAACACCUGAGGCGAAGGCGGGUUGCUGGGCCGACACUGACGCUGAUGCGCGAAAGCCAGGGGAGCAAACG